Non-coding RNA from Podarcis lilfordi (Lilford's wall lizard), 86 nucleotides. Lineage: Eukaryota; Metazoa; Chordata; Lepidosauria; Squamata; Lacertidae. The record is from the annotation of a GenBank genome assembly.
UGGAUAGCUCAGUUGGUAGAGAAUGAGACUCUUAAUCUCAGGGUCUUAAUCUCAGGGUUGUGGGUUCAAGCCCCAAACUGGGUGAA